UACGUAGGGGGCGAGCGUUGUCCGAAGUUACUGGGCGUAAAGCGCGCGUAGGCGGUCAUUUAAGUCUGAGGUGAAAGGUUCAGCGCUCAACGUGAACAGUGCCUUGGAUACUGGGUGACUUGAGUUCGGGAGGGGGCUGUGGAAUUCCAGGUGUAGCGGUGAAAUGCGCAGAGAUCAGGAAGAACACCGGUGGCGAAGGCGCUCUGCUGGACCUUAACUGACACUGAGGGACGAAAGCUAGGGGAGCGAAUGGG
RNAcentral lists this ribosomal RNA (254 nucleotides) under uncultured bacterium. RNAcentral's name for it is "partial 16S ribosomal RNA". It matches the Rfam family "Bacterial small subunit ribosomal RNA", at positions 524 to 776 of the family's 1533-position model. The record is from RNAcentral.